This 484-nucleotide ribosomal RNA is filed under the name uncultured bacterium. RNAcentral's name for it is "partial 16S ribosomal RNA". It matches the Rfam family "Bacterial small subunit ribosomal RNA", at positions 30 to 507 of the family's 1533-position model. The record is from RNAcentral.
AUUGAACGCUGGCGGAAUGCUUUACACAUGCAAGUCGAACGGCAGCACGGGGGCAGCCCUGGUGGCGAGUGGCGAACGGGUGAGUAAUACAUCGGAACGUGCCCGGUCGUGGGGGAUAACGUAGCGAAAGUUACGCUAAUACCGCAUACGAUCUGAGGAUGAAAGCGGGGGACCUUCGGUCCUCGCGCGAUCGGAGCGGCCGAUGUCAGAUUAGGUAGUUGGUGGGGUAAAGGCCUACCAAGCCGACGAUCUGUAGCUGGUCUGAGAGGACGACCAGCCACACUGGGACUGAGACACGGCCCAGACUCCUACGGGAGGCAGCAGUGGGGAAUUUUGGACAAUGGGCGCAAGCCUGAUCCAGCCAUUCCGCGUGCAGGACGAAGGCCUUCGGGUUGUAAACUGCUUUUGUACGGAACGAAAAGGAUCUGGCUAAUACCUGGGGCUCAUGACGGUACCGUAAGAAUAAGCACCGGCUAACUACGUG